Molecule: ribosomal RNA, 230 nt
Filed under: Laccaria amethysteo-occidentalis
Lineage: Eukaryota; Fungi; Basidiomycota; Agaricomycetes; Agaricales; Hydnangiaceae
Description: partial 26S ribosomal RNA
Rfam family: Eukaryotic large subunit ribosomal RNA
Source: RNAcentral
UUGACCUCAAAUCAGGUAGGACUACCCGCUGAACUUAAGCAUAUCAAUAAGCGGAGGAAAAGAAACUAACAAGGAUUCCCCUAGUAACUGCGAGUGAAGCGGGAAAAGCUCAAAUUUAAAAUCUGGCAGUCUUUGGCUGUCCGAGUUGUAAUCUAGAGAAGUAUUAUCCGCGCUGGACCGUGUACAAGUCUCCUGGAAUGGGGCGUCAUAGAGGGUGAGAAUCCCGUCUU